This 599-nucleotide ribosomal RNA is filed under the name Chiropterotriton terrestris (terrestrial splayfoot salamander). RNAcentral's name for it is "partial 16S ribosomal RNA". The record is from RNAcentral. Lineage: Eukaryota; Metazoa; Chordata; Amphibia; Caudata; Plethodontidae.
CUAGCAAGUUUAAUUUAACAAAAAUAUUUAUGUUAAAAUCCCCGAAACCAAACGAGCUACCUUUGAGCAACACACUAUAAAUUUCUCUCUGUGGCAAAAGAGAGUGAGAGACUCCCAGGUAGAGGCGAAAAACCAAACGAGUCUGGAGAUAGCUGGUUGCUUGGGAAUGAAUUAAGUUCAACUAAAAGUGAAUAUACCAACAAGGACACAUAUAUACUUUUAAUAUAAUAAAUUAGGGUACAGCCUAUUUUAUAAAGGAAACAGCCUACACACAUGAAUAAAGAUUAUAAUUUAUCCUAUAAUAAAGUAGGCCUAAAAGCAGCCACCAAAAAAGCGUCACAGCUUAAUUAUAUACUUAAAACAUUUAAAUAUAUUAUCUAAACUCAACUUAAUAACCAAGUUAAUCUAUUUAUAGAUAAACUACUACUAGAAUGAGUAAUAAGGAAUACCUCAAAAUACACAUGUAAAUCUAAACUAACCCCACUGAUAAUUAACGUAAACAUUCAUUUUUACAAGAAAACCAAAUUAUUUAUUUCGUUAACCCAACACAGGUGUAUAAAAGAAAGACUCAAGGCUUAAGAAGGAACUCGGCAAACUAA